Molecule: long non-coding RNA, 222 nt
Organism: Zingiber officinale
Lineage: Eukaryota; Viridiplantae; Streptophyta; Magnoliopsida; Zingiberales; Zingiberaceae
Exons: 3
Source: RefSeq, a predicted model, not a curated record
CUCAUCGUCUUUCUCGAAAAGGAUAUGCGGGUUUGUCUGAAGAAAUAUCCAAUGUUUUAUGUGAUGACGAAGAGAUAAACAGAGCCAUCCUCUGGAAGAAAGGGCGGCUCAACAAAGCUGGGGAAUAUGUUGGCGAUGAGUUGAAGCAAACAGUGAAUAAGAUUGAUGAUUAUAUUGUCCAAAAGAAGGAUGGUAAGAUGCCCUUUACCAAACCAUUUGAGG